RNAcentral lists this ribosomal RNA (468 nucleotides) under uncultured bacterium. RNAcentral's name for it is "partial 16S ribosomal RNA". It matches the Rfam family "Bacterial small subunit ribosomal RNA", at positions 28 to 507 of the family's 1533-position model. The record is from RNAcentral.
GACGAACGCUGGCGGCGUGCUUAAUACAUGCAAGUCGAACGGAAAGGCCCUGCUCUUGUGGGGUGCUCGAGUGGCGAACGGGUGUGUAACACGUGUGUAACCUGCCCUUGACUUUGGGAUAACUCCACGAAACUGGGGCUAAUACCGGAUAGGAGCUCCUGCUGCACGGUGGGGGAUGGAAAGUUGUGGCGGUGUUGGAUGGACUCGCGGCUUAUCAGCUUGUUGGUGGGGUAGUGGAUUACCAAGUCUUUGACGGGUAGCCCACCUGGGAGGGUGACCGGGCACCUGGGGCCUGCGAGACGCAGCAGUCUGGUACGUGCGGCAGCGGGGGGGAGCAUUGCGCAAUGGCCGCGAGCCAGUUAUGGCGAUCCUGCGUGCGGAAUGAUGGGCUUCGGGUUGUAAACCACUUUGGACUGUGACGAGGACUGAGUGACGGUACUUAAUCAGAAAGCCCCGGCUAACUACGUG